RNAcentral lists this long non-coding RNA (1120 nucleotides) under Ananas comosus (pineapple). RNAcentral describes it as "long non-coding RNA (ACOM_LNC012894)". The record is from RNAcentral. Lineage: Eukaryota; Viridiplantae; Streptophyta; Magnoliopsida; Poales; Bromeliaceae.
GUCAUUUGGAGGGAUUAGGGUUUAUAAUUUAGAAUGUAAUGGUAGUACUUAAAGUUUAAUAACAAUAUAUUUGAGAUUUAAUAAUUAAUGGUUAUAGUAUAAUUACGGAGAGAAAAUAUAACGAUAUGCGCAUUAUAAUAUUACAUACAGAAAUAAAUAUAAUAUUUUUUAUUGUAUCUUUUGGACAUGCGUAACACUACCCUAUAAGGGUUUGUUUGUUUUACUAAAGUAGAGAAGGGCAAAGUAACUGUAAAUAUUCAUUUUUAUUGUUUGGUUCAUUGUAACUUCUCUUUUGGUCGAAACUCCAACUCCAUGAAAUAUCGUAAUUAACUUAGCCAUUUUGAAUUGAAAUCAACGACGGAGAGAAAGUGUAAGAGAAAAAAUAAUAAAAUAUUUAGGAUUGAAAAAUAUAGCUUCCACGUCAUUCAAUUCUUAGUAAACAAAUAAUUAGGGCUCGUUUGUUUCAUCGAAACUGAUUUAGGGUUGUAAUGGACUUUGGGUUGAAACGAAGUUCAGUAAAAACUAUUUCUUUUCUACUGUUUGUUUCAUAGGUAUGAAAGUAGAGUUCCUUCAGUUUUACAUAUUAUAUAACUAUAAAUUAUACAUAAAUAAUAAAUAACUUAAUAAAUAAUAAAUUAUAAUAUAAUAAAUAGAAAUAAUAUAAUUAUAUUCCUAUAUAAUUAAAGAUUUUAAUCUAAAACAACUAAAUUACUUUUUUCUACAUAAAUUAUAAUAAUACAACAAAAAAAUUAUAAAGUAAAAAAAACUAUAAAUACUUAACUAAUCAAUUUUCAUUAUAUUUUAGAUGUAGAAACUAAAUGAAGAAAAUAAUAAAACUUAACUAAUCAAACUUUAUCAUAUUUUAAAUAUGCAAACUAAAUAAAAGUAUAAUUAGUACCAUAAUUAGAGAUAUUUAAACAUAACCAACAUUACUCAUUAUAUUAUUUUAUUAUUUUUUUCACCUCUCUUCACCGUAAUUGACUUCGUCUCGAAGUGGACUGAAGUCAAUUAUACUAUUUUAGAUAAUUCGAGUUUCGACCAUAUCUUUAUUAUAGUAAAACAAAUAGUGGAAGUGAUCGUUUAUGACCGAAAACGAUUUCACCCCUCUUCAAUUUUACCC